UUCAGAGAGCAGAAGUCACCUUACCAUUUCUAAUUUAACCAACCCAUGACCAUCAACACUGUUGGCCUACCUCUUCCAAAAUGGGAUCCUGUUCCUGCAGUGAGAAAGUGGCUACGAGAACAGCAUCACUCAGCCGAUGAUCCAGACUCAAGAUCAAGAAAAGUGGAAGUGAGGAGAGCGCCAAUGAAAAAUCGAUGUGGAAACAUCUUAAAGUGAAAAACCACUAACAUUUUUAUGUGAUUAUUAUCAUUGGUGCUUUUAUUGCUCUUAGGUCAUAAGGGCAAAGAAGUGAUGGUGACUUGGCCAUGCGCACCUGGUCACAUGACCAUCAAGCCACACCCCAACAAACCACG
Thamnophis sirtalis is the source of this 353-nucleotide non-coding RNA. NCBI's taxonomy places the organism in Eukaryota, Metazoa, Chordata, Lepidosauria, Squamata, Natricidae. The record is from RefSeq and is a predicted model, not a curated record.